UACGAAGGGGGCUAGCGUUGCUCGGAAUCACUGGGCGUAAAGGGCGCGUAGGCGGCUUUGUAAGUCGGGGGUGAAAGCCUGUGGCUCAACCACAGAAUUGCCUUCGAUACUGCAUGGCUUGAGACCGGAAGAGGUUAGUGGAACUGCGAGUGUAGAGGUGAAAUUCGUAGAUAUUCGCAAGAACACCAGUGGCGAAGGCGGCUCACUGGCCCGGUACUGACGCUGAGGCACGAAAGCGUGGGGAGCAAACAGG
RNAcentral lists this ribosomal RNA (253 nucleotides) under uncultured bacterium. RNAcentral describes it as "partial 16S ribosomal RNA". It matches the Rfam family "Bacterial small subunit ribosomal RNA", at positions 524 to 776 of the family's 1533-position model. The record is from RNAcentral.